Molecule: ribosomal RNA, 871 nt
Filed under: uncultured bacterium
Lineage: Bacteria
Description: bacterial SSU rRNA
Rfam family: Bacterial small subunit ribosomal RNA
Source: RNAcentral
AGGAUGAACGCUAGCGGGAGGCCUAACACAUGCAAGUCGAACGGGAUCCCCGAGCAAUCGGGGUGAGAGUGGCGCACGGGUGAGUAACGCGUAUGCAACCUACCUUUAACAGAGGGAUAGCCCAUAGAAAUGUGGAUUAAUACCUCAUAGUCCUUUUGGCCCGCAUGGGUUGAAAGGUAAAGCCACCAGGCGGUUAAAGAUGGGCAUGCGUGACAUUAGCUAGUUGGUGAGGUAACGGCCCACCAAGGCGACGAUGGGUAGCCGAGCUGAGAGGCUGAACGGCCACACUGGAACUGAGAUACGGUCCAGACUCCUACGGGAGGCAGCAGUGAGGAAUAUUGGUCAAUGGGCGCAAGCCUGAACCAGCCAUCCCGCGUGCAGGAUGACGGCCCUAUGGGUUGUAAACUGCUUUUAUACACCAAGAAAAACCUCCACGUGUGGAGACUUGACGGUAGUGUAUGAAUAAGCAUCGGCUAACUCCGUGCCAGCAGCCGCGGUAAUACGGAGGAUGCAAGCGUUAUCCGGAUUCAUUGGGUUUAAAGGGUGCGUAGGCGGCCUUUUAAGUCAGUGGUGAAAUCUUGCCGCUUAACGGUAAAAUUGCCAUUGAUACUGAAAGGCUUGAGUACAUUUGAGGUAAGCGGAAUGUGUAGUGUAGCGGUGAAAUGCUUAGAUAUUACACAGAACACCAAUUGCGAAGGCAGCUUACUAAACUGUUACUGACGCUGAUGCACGAAAGCGUGGGGAGCAAACAGGAUUAGAUACCCUGGUAGUCCACGCUGUAAACGAUGAAUACUAGGUGUAGGGGGUAUCGACCCCCCCUGUGCCGCAGUUAACACAAUAAGUAUCCCACCUGGGGGAGUACGGCCGCAAG